CCCUUAGAUGUUCUGGGCCGCACGCGCGCUACACUGAUGCAUUCAACAAGUUCACCUUGGCCGAGAGGCUUGGGCAAUCUUUUGAACAUGCAUCGUGAUAGGGAUAGAUUAUUGCAAUUAUUAAUCUUGAACGAGGAAUUCCUAGUAAACGUAGAUCACCAAUCUGCAUUGAUUACGUCCCUGCCCUUUGUACACACCGCCCGUCGCACCUACCGAUUGAAUGGUCCGGUGAAGCCUCGAGAUUGUGGCCAGCUCGCUUUAUUGGGAGUUGGUUGCGAGAACUUGUCUAAACCUUAUCAUUUAGAGGAAGGUGAAGUCGUAACA
RNAcentral lists this ribosomal RNA (324 nucleotides) under uncultured eukaryote. RNAcentral's name for it is "partial 18S ribosomal RNA". It matches the Rfam family "Eukaryotic small subunit ribosomal RNA", at positions 1470 to 1796 of the family's 1831-position model. The record is from RNAcentral.